RNAcentral lists this ribosomal RNA (253 nucleotides) under uncultured bacterium. Its description in RNAcentral is "partial 16S ribosomal RNA". It matches the Rfam family "Bacterial small subunit ribosomal RNA", at positions 524 to 776 of the family's 1533-position model. The record is from RNAcentral.
UACGAAGGGUGCAAGCGUUACUCGGAAUUACUGGGCGUAAAGCGUGCGUAGGUGGUUCGUUAAGUCUGUCGUGAAAGCCCCGGGCUCAACCUGGGAAUGGCGAUGGAUACUGGCGGGCUAGAGUGCGGUAGAGGAGAGUGGAAUUCCCGGUGUAGCAGUGAAAUGCGUAGAGAUCGGGAGGAACACCUGUGGCGAAAGCGGCUCACUGGACCACAACUGACGCUGAGGCGCGAAAGCUAGGGGAGCAAACAGG